RNAcentral lists this non-coding RNA (107 nucleotides) under Peptostreptococcaceae bacterium AS15. RNAcentral's name for it is "Eubacterium sp. AS15b SAM riboswitch aptamer (S box leader)". It matches the Rfam family "SAM riboswitch aptamer (S box leader)". From Rfam's summary of the family: The SAM riboswitch is found upstream of a number of genes which code for proteins involved in methionine or cysteine biosynthesis in Gram-positive bacteria. RNAcentral also lists the same sequence under 1 other name. The record is from Rfam by way of RNAcentral. Lineage: Bacteria; Bacillati; Bacillota; Clostridia; Peptostreptococcales; Peptostreptococcaceae.
ACCUUAUCAAGAGAGGUGGAGGGAAAGGCCCUGUGAAACCCGGCAACCCAACUUUUUCAAAAAGUGAAGGUGCCAAUUCCUGCAAGUUUUUACUUGACAGAUGAGGA